Molecule: ribosomal RNA, 424 nt
Filed under: uncultured rumen bacterium
Lineage: Bacteria
Description: bacterial SSU rRNA
Rfam family: Bacterial small subunit ribosomal RNA
Source: RNAcentral
GUGAGGAAUAUUGGUCAAUGGGCGAGAGCCUGAACCAGCCAAGUAGCGUGAGGGAUGACUGCCCUAUGGGUUGUAAACCUCUUUUGUUUGGGAAUAAAGUGAGCCACGUGUGGCUUUUUGUAUGUACCUUACGAAUAAGCAUCGGCUAAUUCCGUGCCAGCAGCCGCGGUAAUACGGAAGAUGCGAGCGUUAUCCGGAUUUAUUGGGUUUAAAGGGAGCGUAGGCGGGCUUUUAAGCCAGCGGUCAAAUGUCAGGGCCCAACCUUGGCAUGCCGUUGGAACUGGGAGCCUUGAAUACACACAAGGAAGGUGGAAUUCGUCGUGUAGCGGUGAAAUGCUUAGAUAUGACGAAGAACUCCGAUUGCGAAGGCAGCCUUCUGGGGUGCGAUUGACGCUGAGGCUCGAAAGUGCGGGUAUCGAACAGG